CUCAGUCAAAACAAUACAAUUUCAAAUAAAGAUUUCAUGUACGUUUAUGAUUAUUAUAAUUCUUUAAACACGAUUGUAUAAUUAAGAUUUAUUUAUUUUAUAAAUAUGGAAGGCAGUAUUUCUCCAAAUCUUCAAAAGUGGAUAAAAAAAUGUUUAAAAAGAGAAUUUGAAAAUAAUAUACAAAGAUCAUUAAAAGAAGAUACAGAUAAUGUUAAUAUAGCUCAAAGUAUUAUACGUUCAAAGGAAAUGUCCAUUUUAGUAAAUUCUAUGAAAACUACAAUUCUUGAACAAUCUUCGAGAUCUGAAUCAACUAUAAUUUCUGAUUCUCGACCUCAAUCAUCCUUUUCUUGCAUCAGUGAUCAAACAAGUGAAGAUUGGAAUUCUCCAUUAAAUAAUGAUGAAUAUUAUAAUGUUAUUCUUGAUAAAAUUAAUCAAGAUAAACCUAUUCAUGUUAGAUUAGCUGGUUACGAAAUUUUAUUAAAAAGUGAACUUUCAAAUUUAAAUAAUAAUCCUAUAUGGGAUUUGCUUCAAAAAGCUUUAUUAAAAGGUCUUGUAGAUGAAAGUAAACCUAUUUUUGAAGCUAGUUUACAAGUACAUGCAAAAUUGAUAACUUGUCUACAAUCAUAUGAUGUAUAUAUCAAUUUGUUAAAUGCUUUUGAUUUUCAAUAUGAUUCACAAAAGACGUUUGAGAUUUUACCUACUCUAAUUUCUGGAAUUAAUUUUAAAUUUUUUUUACAUGAAAGAGUAUUUCGUAUCAUACAUUUAAUAAUUCAUUAUCAUGAAGAAAAACUGAAAAGUAUAAGAAAUCCCGAUAAAACUAUAGAAGAAUUAAUAGAACAAUUUAUUACAUUUUUGAGUACACAUGUAUCUGGAAAUAUAAUGCAGCAAAAAACAUUAAAUAUAUUGAACAUUAUUUCUGUGUUAGAACCAUGUGCUGAUUGGAGUAAAAAAUGGAUUGUAAAUCUUGGUACUAGAAAAAUAUUUUUAACUGCUUUAGGAAAAUCACCAAAUUUAUUACAACAAGUAAUGCAUUAUGUACAAAAAGGAUUGGGAGAGCCUCCUCAUUCUAUAGCAAUUUCUAUUUAUGAUGAUCCAAUGGAAGUUAUUAUUAAUGGAAAUACAAUAGAAACAGUAACUUAUCUUCAUUGUCUAUGUUUUGUGUCUCAACUUUGUGCUUAUGAAGCAGGUCGUGAACUUUUAAUAGAAAAUAUUUUAAUCAUUCCAUUUUCAGUUUCUAAAUUUUUAAGUGCUUCUUUAAAAGCUCUAAAUAAACUAUCUGUAGAAACAGUAAGUGGUGUAUAUAAUGUUUCUUGUUUUGCUUUACAAUUUAUUUUAGAUAAGCCAACGAUAUUAUAUGAUUACGAAUUUUAUCAUAUUGCUUUGUGCCAUUUAUCAUCUUUUUCUGAAAAUAACAUUAAAAUAUGGCCACAUACAUUAAAAAUUAUUCUACAUAUGUUAGACACAAUAGAUGGUUCUUUAUUUCUUAUCUCAGAAUGCAAGGAACAUACAGUAAAUUUUGAAAAAAGUAUAUCAAAAUGUCCAGCUAUGUUUAUUAUAGUAAUAGCUUCAAAUAUGUUAAGACAACCUUUAUCUUUAAUAAAUAUGGAAUAUCUUUUUGAAUUAUUUGAUGUAAUACAAAAGUUAUUUGAUAUAUUUGAUGCAUAUGAAAUAAUACAAUAUAAAAUAGAAAAAGAAUUUUAUCCUGCUGUAUCAUAUUUUUAUAAGAAAUUAGAUAAAUCUUAUUUUGAAAAUGAAAAUAAAGCUCAACAAAUAAAGAGUGCAGUUAAUACAUUAUUGAUUAAAAUGGUAUCUAUUCCAUUUGGAUUGAAAGCUCUUGUUCAAGAAUCAUCAGUAUUUCAAGAAUUAAUUGAAGGAUCUAUUGCACCUUUAAGAAUGUCUUGGACAUCAAUUGAAGUAGUUAAUUUUGUAUCAUCUGCUGCUUUUUUUUCAUUUGGGAUAUGAUGUAAUUGCUAAUUUGGCACCCCAUGUUUUGUCUAACUUACUUUCAGAGACAUGUAAAAUAUUAGAAGAUCCACAUUAUUUUCAUGACCCAUGGGAUCAUGAAAAUAUUCAAAAAUUUUUACAUAUAUUAACUAUUUUUUCUCUUAAUUUUAAAUGUUUUUGCGCAUUUAUGUCAAAUGUAAAAGAAUCAUAUAAUAAUGAAGAACAUAAUUAUCCACUUAAUUUAUCACAAUUAUUUAAUGAUUUAGUAAAUCCUGAAUCAAAUUAUCAUUAUUUAGGACUUUUAUCAUUAAAUAUUGUAAUUUGGAAUUUAAAUAUUUGUUUAU
Molecule: unclassified non-coding RNA, 2288 nt
Organism: Apis florea (little honeybee)
Lineage: Eukaryota; Metazoa; Arthropoda; Insecta; Hymenoptera; Apidae
Source: RefSeq, a predicted model, not a curated record